AUUGAUACGAAUAAAUUUAAAAAAAAAUAGAAAGGACAAUAGUGAGCAUUUUAGUUGCUUCAAAAAUUUUCGAUGAAUUACGAAUGGAGAUUAAAGGGAAUUAAGAUGGUAGGAAAACAGAUAAACGUUCCAGAACGGCUCUUAAUUAUCAGAAUGUUUGUGUUGUUCAGAUAAAACCAAUCGAGAUGAUAAAAAGCUGACCAAGAGUCAGUAAUAUUCUUCUUGGAAAGUCAAUGAUCUUAUCAAGCGAUCUCUGCCAGAAUAGGUUGUAACUGCAUUAGUAUAUUAAAUGAUACAGUUAUAAUUAUGGAGAGAGUAACUGUCAAACAGCGGGAGCAAUUUAAUCUAGUAACAGCACCGAAAACAUCGCGCAUCGCGAAUAAAGUCCAGAUUUAUUUUUAACAUAUUACGCAGACCUGAUUCCGGGAAUAUGUAUAAACGGCCACAAAUGCUACCAAGUAAAAUGUGAGUUCGAUGGAAUUCGAUGCUGAACUGAAAAAGAGAAACCUGAGCGGACUAAGACAUCUGUCAACGAAGAUGGAUAAGAGGGAAACGAUUUAGAGACCGAGCUGCUCGGGCAUGCCAAUUGUCGAUUUAAAUCGAACCAAUUGACCAUUAUUGAGUAGUAAUGGUUACAGAACCAAGUCCUGGGUUAAUUACUAUUGAACUGGGAUAUCCACACAUCUGUCGUUUAUUCGGUUAACGGAAGGAAAAACAAGACUUGUAAUGCUAAAAAGAAUUAACGUCUGUUUCGAUUUAUUAAAGUAUACCACCAAAGGAAUUAGAAUAUGAAAUUAGCUUCAAUGGAAAAUAGGAAUUUUUUUAAAUGUUAAAAGUGUGUUAAGCUAUUGUGGAAUGCGUUUACCUAAAAAAAAUUCAUUAUAUUUAUACUUAUGCAUUCUGAAAAUAUAGCAAAACACGAGCCACCGAUGAUCAGCGU
Molecule: long non-coding RNA, 940 nt
Organism: Bombus huntii
Lineage: Eukaryota; Metazoa; Arthropoda; Insecta; Hymenoptera; Apidae
Exons: 2
Source: RefSeq, a predicted model, not a curated record